UACAGAGGGGGCAAGCGUUGUUCGGAAUUACUGGGCGUAAAGGGCGCGUAGGCGGCCUUCUAAGUCGAACGUGAAAUCCCCGGGCUCAACCCGGGAACUGCGUCCGAUACUGGAAGGCUUGAAUCCGGGAGAGGGAUGCGGAAUUCCAGGUGUAGCGGUGAAAUGCGUAGAUAUCUGGAGGAACACCGGUGGCGAAGGCGGCAUCCGGGACCGGCAUUGACGCUGAGGCGCGAAAGCCAGGGGAGCAAACGGG
This 253-nucleotide ribosomal RNA is filed under the name uncultured bacterium. Its description in RNAcentral is "partial 16S ribosomal RNA". It matches the Rfam family "Bacterial small subunit ribosomal RNA", at positions 524 to 776 of the family's 1533-position model. The record is from RNAcentral.